ACAGCAGUAGCCGCGGUAAUACGAAGGGGGCUAGCGUUGUUCGGAUUUACUGGGCGUAAGGGGCGCGUAGGCGGACUGAUAAGUCAGGGGUGAAAUCCCAAGGCUCAACCUUGGAACUGCCUUUGAUACUGUUUGUCUUGAGUUCGAGAGAGGUAAGUGGAACUGCGAGUGUAGAGGUGAAAUUCGUAGAUAUUCGCAAGAACACCAGUGGCGAAGGCGGCUUACUGGCUCGAAACUGACGCUGAGGCGCGAAAGCGUGGGGAGCAAACAGGAUUAGAUACCCGGGUAGUCCCUGUCUCUUAUAC
Molecule: ribosomal RNA, 305 nt
Filed under: uncultured bacterium
Lineage: Bacteria
Description: partial 16S ribosomal RNA
Rfam family: Bacterial small subunit ribosomal RNA
Source: RNAcentral